Molecule: ribosomal RNA, 494 nt
Filed under: uncultured Anaerostipes sp.
Lineage: Bacteria; Bacillati; Bacillota; Clostridia; Lachnospirales; Lachnospiraceae
Description: partial 16S ribosomal RNA
Source: RNAcentral
CACGUAGUUAGCCGGGGCUUCUUAGUCAGGUACCGUCACUAUCUUCCCUGCUGAUAGAGCUUUACAUACCGAAAUACUUCCUCACUCACGCGGCGUCGCUGCAUCAGGGUUCCCCCCAUUGUGCAAUAUUCCCCACUGCUGCCUCCCGUAGGAGUCUGGGCCGUGUCUCAGUCCCAAUGUGGCCGUUCACUCUCUCAAGCCGGCUACUGAUCGUCGCCUUGGUAAGCCGUUACCUUACCAACCAGCUAAUCAGACGCGGGUCCAUCCCAUAGCGAUAAAUCUUUCAAAACAGGACCAUGCGGUCCCGCUUUCCCAUGCGGUAUUAGCAGCCGUUUCCAGCUGUUGUCCCCCUCUAUGGGGCAGGUUACCCACGCGUUACUCACCCGUCCGCCACUCAGUCAUCCCAUAUGCUUCCUUCCCCAGCAAGCUGGUUCUGUCUGGCGGGUGGAUGCUUCGUUCGACUUGCAUGUGUUAGGCACGCCGCACGCGUUCAU